Triticum dicoccoides is the source of this 1538-nucleotide long non-coding RNA. RefSeq lists it as uncharacterized. The transcript is spliced from 4 exons. NCBI's taxonomy places the organism in Eukaryota, Viridiplantae, Streptophyta, Magnoliopsida, Poales, Poaceae. The record is from RefSeq and is a predicted model, not a curated record.
UUGGAUGAAAUAUGGCCGAGUUCGUGUAAAAGUCGCCGAGUUUGCAAAAAGACUGAGACGUACUUCGCUGAACCCGCGGCGACCGUGGGCGCGUGGCUGAGAGCGAACCGAGCCCCAGAAGGCCGAUCUAGCACCGGCAUGCCCCAUACCGCUCUUUUUUGGCGUCCUGGGGCGGAACGGUUGGAGAUGCUCUUACGACCAGCCUCACUCCGUGCGUGUGCAACCGCCAGUCAACUCAGAACGUGGGGAUUGCCGAUCGUGCUGGGUUUGAACCUCGCCGAGUAUAAGAUCCCCCGAACCCUCAAAGAUGCUCACUUCCUCUCCUCUCGCCUCCCGUCGCCUCUGUCGAAUCCGGCGGCUGGAGUAGCUGCCGCCGCCUCUCAGACCGCAGGACCGUUGCCGACGUCGUCGGCACCGGACACGCCCUCUUCCGCCGAGGAAGUGUGGAGGUGGUGGUCCUGGAGGGGGCCAUCGUAGCAUCGCGCAGGAGCUUGCGAGGUGCACUGCAGAGUCCAGCGUCGGCAACCUCUGCUCGGAUCCGUUUCCUUGAGGUUGACAAACUGAAGGUCUUAUCAUCCUCCCUAACUAAUUCAUCCUCCAAGGCAGAGAAGCGUAUUGUGGAUCACAGAUGGCACCCGUUAAACUCCCAAGUGGACGUAUGCGGACACCACAGAAACCCUGGCGACGUUCGGCAAACCUGCCAUCUUCCUAACUAUGACUUGCAACCCAAACUGGCCCGAGAUACAGGACGCGCUACUUCCAGGCCAAAAUUUGCAGGACCAACCAGACCUCGUGGCCCGAGUGUUUAGGUCCAAACUGGAGACGAUGAAAGACAUGAUGACCAAGAAGCAUAUCCUAGGCGUCCUGAAGGGGGUAGAGUUUACCGAAAAAGGCUUUCACCCCGCUUUAUAAAUAAAGCAACCACCGAGCACAACGUUCACAAGGUAUCAGACAAAACCCACAAACACACACAACGCCACCGCAGGCACCAGUCCAACACACCCUCACAAACACAAGGUUCAGCUGUGGGCACAGCACAACAAGCCCAACACACGCGCACAAGACAACACAUAACGGUGGUGGCGGCGGGGAAGGGAAGAUUUAAUCCGGCUCUAGCGGUGGUGGGGGAAGCGGAGGAGUCAACCGAAGAGCCAUCACGCGAAGCUGGGUGACGAAGGUGGUAGAGUUUCAGAAGAGGGGCCUCCCUGAUGAGGAUACAGACCCGGGGUAGGGUCAUAGACCUGACCUAUAUGCCCUACCCAAGCUCACUACCCUAGAAGCAAAGAAGUCCAAGAGACAACAAAGAACCCCCGGUCGAAGGUGUCGAGUGCCAUCCACUUGACCAAUCAUAUCACUUGGGUACCCCUCCUACCUGAAGGCACUCUACCAUACAAGGAAUCACUCGACCUACUGAAGACCAUGAGUCGCUCAGCACUGCAACGGUCAGGUGUUCACUCCUUAGUCUUUAAGAUCAUUAAUAGCACUUAUGGCUGGCGUUAUCAGUAACACCCUGUCUUUAUGUACAUUGAACCUCUUGU